RNAcentral lists this unclassified non-coding RNA (335 nucleotides) under uncultured Hyphodontia. Its description in RNAcentral is "sequence contains ITS1". The stretch from base 1 to 105 matches the Rfam family "5.8S ribosomal RNA", at positions 50 to 154 of the family's 154-position model. The record is from RNAcentral. Lineage: Eukaryota; Fungi; Basidiomycota; Agaricomycetes; Corticiales; Corticiaceae.
GAAAUGCGAUAAGUAAUGUGAAUUGCAGAAUUCAGUGAAUCAUCGAAUCUUUGAACGCACCUUGCGCUCCUUGGUAUUCCGAGGAGCAUGCCUGUUUGAGUGUCGUGAAAUCAUCAACUCCUUUACUUUAUUGUGAAGUGAGCUUGGAUUUGGAGACUGCUGGUGCAAAUCAGCUUCUCUUGAAUGUAUUAGCUGGAAUUCAGUUUGCAGCAUAUAUGCGGUGUGAUAAUGUCGUCACUGCGUAGCUGGUAUUCUGUCUGGCUUCUAAUCGUCCUUUACUUGGACAAUUUGAUCAUUCUGACCUCAAAUCAGGUAGGACUACCCGCUGAACUUAA